UGGGGAAUUUUGGACAAUGGGCGAAAGCCUGAUCCAGCCAUGCCGCGUGAGUGAAGAAGGCCUUCGGGUUGUAAAGCUCUUUUAGUAGGGAAGAAAAGAUCGUAAAUAAUACUUGCGAUUAAUGACGGUACCGACAGAAAAAGCCCCGGCUAACUACGUGCCAGCAGCCGCGGUAAUACGUAGGGUGCGAGCGUUAAUCGGAAUUACUGGGCGUAAAGGGUGCGCAGGCGGUUUUGUAAGUCGGAUGUGAAAUCCCCGGGCUUAACCUGGGAAUUGCGUUUGAAACUAUAAGACUAGAGUGCAGGAGAGGGGAGUGGAAUUCCAUGUGUAGCAGUGAAAUGCGUAGAGAUGUGGAAGAACACCGAUGGCGAAGGCAGCUCCCUGGAUUGACACUGACGCUCAUGCACGAAAGCGUGGGGAGCAAACA
Molecule: ribosomal RNA, 427 nt
Filed under: uncultured beta proteobacterium
Lineage: Bacteria; Pseudomonadati; Pseudomonadota; Betaproteobacteria
Description: bacterial SSU rRNA
Rfam family: Bacterial small subunit ribosomal RNA
Source: RNAcentral